This is a long non-coding RNA of Acanthopagrus latus (yellowfin seabream), 775 nucleotides long. RefSeq lists it as uncharacterized. The transcript is spliced from 3 exons. Lineage: Eukaryota; Metazoa; Chordata; Actinopteri; Spariformes; Sparidae. The record is from RefSeq and is a predicted model, not a curated record.
UGCUGUCAGCUCGUCCUGUUCUGCUCACCUGAGCCUCUUCCUCUGGUCUGCUUCUGUUUCUGUGAUUGCCACCACCUGACAAGACUUGUGUUAAAUGUCCAGAACAUUUCCAGAUGGACCUGAUCGUCUUCUAGAUGGAGUUAAAAUCCGGUCGUUUCCAAACUGCAGGAGCUGGAUCGAAGCAGUUGAACUCGUCAUGACCUCUGACCUUUGACCCACUUACACCAUGAGCUGAAGGCUGAUGUUUGCACCGACAGCAACAAAACUGAGCACUCACACACAAACUGACUGUGCUUCCCAUCAGACGUGUUCUGGGUGUUUGAGUGUCUCAGUCCAACACAAGCCGGAUCCAUCUCAGUCCAGAACAUUAUUCCAUGAUUAAAUGACGUCGGUCCCGAACACUGUUUCAUGCUUUUAAAUCUCUAAAAACUGUUUCACUGCGAACACGAUCAGACUGCAGCUGAAAGUGACCCAAGAUGGCUGCCGAACUCUGACCUACUGAUUGACAGCUGCUUCUAUGCCCGCCCCGUGGCCUGCAACAGCCAACGAGUGAUCAGGAAGAUUAUUUUUACCUGAGACUCCAGAUGAUUGACGCAUCAUGUAACCAAUGAGAUUUCACAUCCAGUAAUAUAUAGUUUAUAUCAGUUUUUAAAGGCCAACACUUUGAAAUUAUUAAUUAAUUUGUAGUUUUAUGCAUUUUGCUCUUUGAAUAUGUUGUUUUUAAUUAUUUUAUGUGUUCAAAGUUUGUAUAAAUAAGGAAAUAAAGGCCUUAUAA